AUUCGACUGACGAGUCCCAAAUAGUGCUAGACGUGCGUCCUGGAU
RNAcentral lists this non-coding RNA (45 nucleotides) under Schistosoma mansoni. Lineage: Eukaryota; Metazoa; Platyhelminthes; Trematoda; Strigeidida; Schistosomatidae. The record is from RNAcentral.